GAGUGAGCUCUUCUCUCCCAGGGGCAGUCUCAAUGACAGCCAAUGGCAUCAUGUCAGCAUCGUACGCCGUGAGGCGAAUCUCACUAUGAAGGUGGAUGACAGCACAGUGAAAAAGCGACUGCCGGGCAGGUUCUUUGAACUGAACAUACAUUUCGGUGUGUUCCUUGGCGGCCAGGGGACUUCUCUGAAUUGUUUUGGGUCAUAUGGAAAACUUCCGCGGGUGUAUGGAAGAUGUUUACUAUAAUUCGGUAAAAAUAAUAGAGAAGGCUCGGUCGCGCGCCGGCUCGGUGCACGUGGAAGGAGUGACCUGGAACUGCGCCCCGGAAUUCGACGCUGAUAGUAACACCGACAUAAGUUUUGUUGAUGAAGGUGCUUACUUGAUUCUGCCCAGGAUUAACUCCAGAGCUGGCGGAAGAUGGCAAAUAGAAUUCAAGACGAUAGCACAAAACGCGGUGAUACUAUACAACGCCGGAGGGGGCCGUUCGGACUUUCUAGCCGUCGAAAUAUUGGAGGGAGUAAUCCGAGUGAAAAUGGCCCGAGGACAGAUCGUGCACACGCUGCGAGUGAACGACGGACAAUGGCACAAACUGCACUUGCUCUUUAAUCCGUCUUUGAUUGAGCUAUCAGUUGAUAACGUGGCGAUGAGCACGCGCAUCGAAAGCGGCGGCACUAGGUACCUCGAAUUGUCUGAUUCUUUCUAUCUCGGCGGCAUUGAGAGCGAGAAGAGGCAGAGGGCUUUUGCUAAAGGGAUUAAAGCUGCCGACUCUAGUAUAAUGGGAUGCAUAAAACCUAUAGAGGUUGACGACAAGAUCUUUGGAUUACCCAACGCCGUGGUAACAUACGGUGUGAGUCCAAAAUGUGUGUGGUGGUAUCCGUGUCAUGCCAGCCCUGGGAAUCCCCCGUGCGUACCUCAAGCGGUGUGCGCCCAACACGGUGUCGACCACUUCACUUGCAAAUGUGAUACCGACUUGUGUAUCAACCCGGACUACAGCGAGAAAUAUAAGGUAUUCUCAAAAUCAAGCAGCGAGUUGGAGUUGGUAGCGUUGUAUCCCUUAACGGUACAAGAAGGUGGGGUUGCUGUGAUUACUACACAGAACAUUGACGUGGUGUUAGACCAUCAUAAGUAUGGCGUCCGGCCGUCUGGAGUGGUCUUGCAUGUGACUCAGUCCCCUCAGCAUGGACGCAUAGCAGUUGACCUGUCGCUGCAGAGAAACUCACCACAAUACAACUAUAUUGAAGGAGAGGGGAAAUCCAAGCAGUUCUUUACGUUGCUGGAUCUGUCUAGGGAUAAGGUACGUUAUGUCCACGACGGGUCAGAAAACCACCACGACGCCAUAGUCCUCGACAUGGAGCUGAUUCAAGAGACAAAGUUCACACUACCGAGCUACCUCCAAGGUCGGAACACCUUCGUACUCCACGUAAAUGUGACGCCUGUGAAUGACCCACCUGUGCUGAAUCUGUUGCCAGGGAAAGUUCUGAGGCUCACUCAGAGUGUUGCCAGCGCUUGAUUUAAUUUAAUCUUGCUUUUGUGUAGUUGCAUGACGUAUUGUAUGACAGAUUGAACCCACAACAAGUACGCGAUUAACAUUUAAAUACCGAGCGGUACACGUAAAGUGAUCACCUCGGAUAUACUGAGGGCAGAAGAUCCCGACACGCUACCCGAGGACCUGUUGUAUACAGUGUUGCACGGAAAGAACGAAAUCAAUAG
Manduca sexta (tobacco hornworm) is the source of this 1708-nucleotide RNA transcript. It is a transcript of the gene named chondroitin sulfate proteoglycan 4-like, with no coding region annotated. The transcript has 10 exons. The record is from RefSeq and is a predicted model, not a curated record. NCBI's taxonomy places the organism in Eukaryota, Metazoa, Arthropoda, Insecta, Lepidoptera, Sphingidae.